RNAcentral lists this ribosomal RNA (486 nucleotides) under uncultured bacterium. Its description in RNAcentral is "partial 16S ribosomal RNA". It matches the Rfam family "Bacterial small subunit ribosomal RNA", at positions 30 to 507 of the family's 1533-position model. The record is from RNAcentral.
AUUGAACGCUGGCGGCAUGCCUUACACAUGCAAGUCGAACGGCAGCACGGGUGCUUGCUCCUGGUGGCGAGUGGCGAACGGGUGAGUAAUACAUCGGAACAUGUCCUGUAGUGGGGGAUAGCCCGGCGAAAGCCGGAUUAAUACCGCAUACGAUCUACGGAUGAAAGCGGGGGCCCUUCGGGCCUCGCGCUUUCGGGUUGGCCGAUGGCUGAUUAGCUAGUUGGUGGGGUAAAGGCCUACCAAGGCGACGAUCAGUAGCUGGUCUGAGAGGACGACCAGCCACACUGGGACUGAGACACGGCCCAGACUCCUACGGGAGGCAGCAGUGGGGAAUUUUGGACAAUGGGCGAAAGCCUGAUCCAGCAAUGCCGCGUGUGUGAAGAAGGCCUUCGGGUUGUAAAGCACUUUUGUCCGGAAAGAAAUCCUUGGCUCUAAUACAGUCGGGGGAUGACGGUACCGGAAGAAUAAGCACCGGCUAACUACGUG